AUAAAUUACCAAACCAUUCAUUUCAGACCCUAAGAAGCCACACUUAAGGACAAUUAACUAAUUGAUUAAGCAGUGAACCUAUCAUACUGCUGACUACUAAAGAAUUUUAAAGGGAUGGAAAUAAGGUUUUAUAAUCUCCUGCUAUUACCUCCUAAAUAAAGAUCAUUGUCUCCAAGUUUUAACACCAUAAUUUGUUCCCCCUGACCCAAGCACAUUCUGAGCUCC
RNAcentral lists this long non-coding RNA (225 nucleotides) under Pan troglodytes (chimpanzee). RNAcentral describes it as "long non-coding RNA NONPTRT011937". The record is from RNAcentral. Lineage: Eukaryota; Metazoa; Chordata; Mammalia; Primates; Hominidae.